GGGGCCGACUGGAAUCGACAGGUUAGCGGUGGUUCUGUUAGCAUGCAGUGCGUUGUUAGUAUUGCACUUAAAUAUAAACUUUCACACUUUUUACAUGGCGAAAAUAACUACGCCCUAGCUGCUUAAUUUAGAAUUAAGAUAGCUUAAUUGUUCCAAUUAGGACUUGUCUCGCCUCCUAAUUAUUGUGAACAUCGAUUGCGAGGCUGGCAGAUGUGAUGUUGCUAAUCAUUUGCGAGAUAUAGCAAAUAAGGUGGGAGGUAUAGGUUGGCUUUUGACCUUCCCUCACUCGAAAAUCAAAUAAAAGCUAAGCAUGUAGAAGGCAUAAUUUGCUCUAUCUCUGGACGAGAGUUCGAAUCUCUCCGGCUCCACA
Molecule: transfer-messenger RNA, 370 nt
Filed under: uncultured Sphingobacterium sp.
Lineage: Bacteria; Pseudomonadati; Bacteroidota; Sphingobacteriia; Sphingobacteriales; Sphingobacteriaceae
Rfam family: transfer-messenger RNA
About the family: Bacterial tmRNA, also known as 10Sa RNA or SsrA, is named for its dual tRNA and mRNA-like properties. Its role is to liberate the mRNA from a stalled ribosome.
Source: RNAcentral